RNAcentral lists this transfer RNA (64 nucleotides) under Psylliodes hispanus. RNAcentral describes it as "tRNA-His". The record is from RNAcentral. Lineage: Eukaryota; Metazoa; Arthropoda; Insecta; Coleoptera; Chrysomelidae.
AUCUAAAUAGUUUAUAGUUAAAAUUUUGAUUUGUGGUAUCAAGGAAAUAGUUUUAUUUUAGAUU